RNAcentral lists this ribosomal RNA (628 nucleotides) under uncultured bacterium. Its description in RNAcentral is "bacterial SSU rRNA". It matches the Rfam family "Bacterial small subunit ribosomal RNA", at positions 236 to 864 of the family's 1533-position model. The record is from RNAcentral.
CGACAUUAGCUAGUUGGUAAGGUAACGGCUUACCAAGGCGACGAUGUUUAGGGGACCUAAGAGGGUUGUCCCCCACACUGGUACUGAGACACGGACCAGACUCCUACGGGAGGCAGCAGUGAGGAAUAUUGGUCAAUGGGCGCAAGCCUGAACCAGCCAUCCCGCGUGAAGGAAGAAUGCGCUACGCGUUGUAAACUUCUUUUCCAGGGGGAGAAUAAUCCUGUCGUGACAGGACUUGACGGUACUCUGGGAAUAAGCAUCGGCUAACUCCGUGCCAGCAGCCGCGGUAAUACGGAGGAUGCGAGCGUUAUCCGGAUUUAUUGGGUUUAAAGGGUGCGUAGGCGGAUUGAUAAGUCAGUGGUGAAAUUCUACAGCUUAACUGUAGACUUGCCGUUGAUACUGUUAGUCUUGAGUGUGGUCAAGGCAGGCGGAAUGUGUAAUGUAGCGGUGAAAUGCUUAGAUAUUACACAGAACACCGAUUGCGAAGGCAGCUUGCUGGGUCAUUACUGACGCUGAUGCACGAAAGCGUGGGGAUCAAACAGGAUUAGAUACCCUGGUAGUCCACGCCGUAAACUAUGAUCACUCGCUGUUGGCGAUACACAGUCAGCGGCUAAGCAAAAGCAUUAAG